This 253-nucleotide ribosomal RNA is filed under the name uncultured bacterium. RNAcentral's name for it is "partial 16S ribosomal RNA". It matches the Rfam family "Bacterial small subunit ribosomal RNA", at positions 524 to 776 of the family's 1533-position model. The record is from RNAcentral.
UACGAGCGGCCCAAACGUUAUUCGGAAUUACUGGGCUUAAAGAGUUCGUAGGCGGCAUUGCAAGUAGGGUGUGAAAGCCCUCGGCUCAACCGAGGAAUUGCGCUCUAAACUGCAGUGCUUGAGGAACCUAGAGGUGAGCAGAACAGAUGGUGGAGCGGUGAAAUGCGUUGAUAUCAUCUGGAAUACCGGAGGCGAAGGCGGCUCACUGGGAGUUUUCUGACGCUGAGGAACGAAAACCAGGGUAGCGAACGGG